Molecule: long non-coding RNA, 386 nt
Organism: Planococcus citri (citrus mealybug)
Lineage: Eukaryota; Metazoa; Arthropoda; Insecta; Hemiptera; Pseudococcidae
Exons: 3
Source: RefSeq, a predicted model, not a curated record
UAUUACACGCUCGGGCGCAAAUUAGACGAGUUUUUCCAACAGCAGUGUCUCCAACGACGACACAUUUCACCAACUCUUGAUGGGGUUGUUCGUUAUCUAUCAUUACUAAAGGCUCCACUAUACCUUGCGAUGCUGAAACAGCUUUUUACGUAUACGAGACGAGUACAUCAAACCGGAGAAGAAAGGGUGCAAAAUUGUAGGUCAUACUCGAGUGAUACUUCCAUUCUACCUAGCCAAGGACAUGAAAAAUCGAUACGAAAGUUUGAUUGUGAAAAAAUAUGAAAUUACCUGGUAUCCAAUUGCCUCCAGUCCAUAAAGUCUCACUGAAACUGGUCCAGCUGGACAUUGGUGAAAAGUUCAAUCGGGAUGAUGGCAAAUCGAAGGAA